Molecule: ribosomal RNA, 465 nt
Filed under: Vreelandella stevensii
Lineage: Bacteria; Pseudomonadati; Pseudomonadota; Gammaproteobacteria; Oceanospirillales; Halomonadaceae
Description: partial 16S ribosomal RNA
Rfam family: Bacterial small subunit ribosomal RNA
Source: RNAcentral
CCUACGGGGGGCAGCAGUGGGGAAUAUUGGACAAUGGGCGAAAGCCUGAUCCAGCCAUGCCGCGUGUGUGAAGAAGGCCUUCGGGUUGUAAAGCACUUUCAGUGGGGAAGAAAGCCUUGGGGCUAAUACCCUCGAGGAAGGACAUCACCCACAGAAGAAGCACCGGCUAACUCCGUGCCAGCAGCCGCGUUAAUACGGAGGGUGCGAGCGUUAAUCGGAAUUACUGGGCGUAAAGCGGGCGUAGGCGGUCUGAUAAGCCGGUUGUGAAAGCCCCGGGCUCAACCUGGGAACGGCAUCCGGAACUGUCAGGCUAGAGUGCAGGAGAGGAAGGUAGAAUUCCCGGUGUAGCGGUGAAAUGCGUAGAGAUCGGGAGGAAUACCAGUGGCGAAGGCGGCCUUCUGGACUGACACUGACGCUGAGGUGCGAAAGCGUGGGUAGCAAACAGGAUUAGAUACCCCAGUAGUC